UACGUAGGGUGCGAGCGUUGUCCGGAAUUAUUGGGCGUAAAGAGCUUGUAGGCGGUUUGUCGCGUCUGCUGUGAAAAUCCGGGCUCAACCCCGGACUUGCAGUGGGUACGGGCAGACUAGAGUGUGGUAGGGGAGACUGGAAUUCCUGGUGUAGCGGUGAAAUGCGCAGAUAUCAGGAGGAACACCGAUGGCGAAGGCAGGUCUCUGGGCCACUACUGACGCUGAGAAGCGGAAAGCAUGGGAGCGAACAGG
This 252-nucleotide ribosomal RNA is filed under the name uncultured bacterium. RNAcentral's name for it is "partial 16S ribosomal RNA". It matches the Rfam family "Bacterial small subunit ribosomal RNA", at positions 524 to 776 of the family's 1533-position model. The record is from RNAcentral.